ACUCCUACGGGAGGCAGCAGUGGGGAAUUGUUCGCAAUGGGCGCAAGCCUGACGACGCAACGCCGCGUGGAGGAUGAAGACCUUCGGGUCGUAAACUCCUUUCGAUCGAGACGAAUGGUCUCCGGGUGAACAAUCUGGAGAAGUGACGGUACCGAGAGAAGAAGCCCCGGCUAACUCCGUGCCAGCAGCCGCGGUAAUACGGGGGGGGCAAGCGUUGUUCGGAAUUACUGGGCGUAAAGGGCUCGUAGGUGGCCAACUAAGUCAGACGUGAAAUCCCUCGGCUUAACCGGGGAACUGCGUCUGAUACUGGAUGGCAUGAGUUCGGGAGAGGGAUGCGGAAUUCCAGGUGUAGCGGUGAAAUGCGUAGAGAUC
Molecule: ribosomal RNA, 372 nt
Filed under: uncultured bacterium
Lineage: Bacteria
Description: bacterial SSU rRNA
Rfam family: Bacterial small subunit ribosomal RNA
Source: RNAcentral